Non-coding RNA from Acanthosepion pharaonis, 111 nucleotides. The record is from the annotation of a GenBank genome assembly. NCBI's taxonomy places the organism in Eukaryota, Metazoa, Mollusca, Cephalopoda, Sepiida, Sepiidae.
ACGCCCACAUCAGGAGCAAACAUCGUUUCCCAUAGGAUCAGAGAACUUUAGCAACGUUGAGCCGGGUCAGUACCUAGAUGGGUGACCGCCUGGGAAUAUUAGAUGGUGUAA